Molecule: ribosomal RNA, 448 nt
Filed under: uncultured bacterium
Lineage: Bacteria
Description: SSU rRNA
Rfam family: Bacterial small subunit ribosomal RNA
Source: RNAcentral
AGAACGAACGCUGGCGGCAGGCCUCAAACAUGCAAGUCUAGGGGACGUAGCAAUACGUCACCGGCGGACGGGUGCGUAACACGUGGGAAUGUACCUUUUGGUUCGGAACAACGCAGGGAAACUUGCGCUAAUACCGAAUGUGCCCUUACGGGGAAAGAUUUAUCGCCAAAGGAUCAGCCCGCGUCCGAUUAGCUAGUUGGUGGGGUAAUGGCCUACCAAGGCGACGAUCGGUAGCUGUUCUGAGAGGAAGAUCAGCCACACUGGGACUGAGACACGGCCCCAGACUCCUACGGGAGGCAGCAGUUGGGAAUCUUGGACAAUGGGGAAACCCUGAUCCAGCCAUGCCGCGUGAGUGAUGAAGGCCUUCGGGUUGUAAAACUCUUUCGACGGGGACGAUAAUGACGGUACCCGUAGAAGAAGCUCCGGCUAACUUCGUGCCAGCAGCCGC